Molecule: unclassified non-coding RNA, 268 nt
Filed under: Hevea brasiliensis (rubber tree)
Lineage: Eukaryota; Viridiplantae; Streptophyta; Magnoliopsida; Malpighiales; Euphorbiaceae
Source: RNAcentral
GGCCCUUGGGAUUGUAGGUCAUCGCGUUCUUGAAGGUCAACCUCACGUCGGAAGCAAAAUCGAACGGUGAUUCAUAUGCAUCUUUGCUCAACUUGGCUUUCACGGAUCCUAAAUCCAUAGGACGCUUGACGAUGUCAUAGUAAUCGUGAAGGCCCAUCCCAACCACAUCGACCGGCUUGUUGAAGAUCCAGCCAUGUUUGUGCUUCAUGAGUUUUGUCAAAAUCUGCGAGCAAGUCUUCAUCAGAUUUCCGUUUUCUGAAUUAGACCG